GAUGGCCUUGCGGUGCAUUAGCUAGUUGGUGGGGUAACGGCCCACCAAGGCGACGAUGCAUAGCCGACCUGAGAGGGUGAUCGGCCACACUGGGACUGAGACACGGCCCAGACUCCUACGGGAGGCAGCAGUAGGGAAUCUUCCACAAUGGACGAAAGUCUGAUGGAGCAACGCCGCGUGAGUGAUGAAGGUUUUCGGAUCGUAAAACUCUGUUGUAAGGGAAGAACACGUACGAGAGGGAAUGCUCGUACCUUGACGGUACCUUACGAGAAAGCCACGGCUAACUACGUGCCAGCAGCCGCGGUAAUACGUAGGUGGCAAGCGUUGUCCGGAAUUAUUGGGCGUAAAGCGCGCGCAGGCGGCCUUUUAAGUCUGAUGUGAAAGCCCCCGGCUCAACCGGGGAGGGCCAUUGGAAACUGGAAGGCUUGAGUACAGAAGAGAAGAGUGGAAUUCCACGUGUAGCGGUGAAAUGCGUAGAGAUGUGGAGGAACACCAGUGGCGAAGGCGACUCUUUGGUCUGUAACUGACGCUGAGGCGCGAAAGCGUGGGGAGCAAACAG
Molecule: ribosomal RNA, 559 nt
Filed under: uncultured bacterium
Lineage: Bacteria
Description: bacterial SSU rRNA
Rfam family: Bacterial small subunit ribosomal RNA
Source: RNAcentral